RNAcentral lists this ribosomal RNA (693 nucleotides) under Vibrio orientalis CIP 102891 = ATCC 33934. Its description in RNAcentral is "bacterial SSU rRNA". It matches the Rfam family "Bacterial small subunit ribosomal RNA", at positions 762 to 1454 of the family's 1533-position model. Lineage: Bacteria; Pseudomonadati; Pseudomonadota; Gammaproteobacteria; Vibrionales; Vibrionaceae. The record is from RNAcentral.
UGGGGAGCAAACAGGAUUAGAUACCCUGGUAGUCCACGCCGUAAACGAUGUCUACUUGGAGGUUGUGGCCUUGAGCCGUGGCUUUCGGAGCUAACGCGUUAAGUAGACCGCCUGGGGAGUACGGUCGCAAGAUUAAAACUCAAAUGAAUUGACGGGGGCCCGCACAAGCGGUGGAGCAUGUGGUUUAAUUCGAUGCAACGCGAAGAACCUUACCUACUCUUGACAUCCAGAGAAGCCGGAAGAGAUUCUGGUGUGCCUUCGGGAACUCUGAGACAGGUGCUGCAUGGCUGUCGUCAGCUCGUGUUGUGAAAUGUUGGGUUAAGUCCCGCAACGAGCGCAACCCUUAUCCUUGUUUGCCAGCGAGUAAUGUCGGGAACUCCAGGGAGACUGCCGGUGAUAAACCGGAGGAAGGUGGGGACGACGUCAAGUCAUCAUGGCCCUUACGAGUAGGGCUACACACGUGCUACAAUGGCGCAUACAGAGGGCAGCCAACUUGCGAGAGUGAGCGAAUCCCAAAAAGUGCGUCGUAGUCCGGAUUGGAGUCUGCAACUCGACUCCAUGAAGUCGGAAUCGCUAGUAAUCGUGGAUCAGAAUGCCACGGUGAAUACGUUCCCGGGCCUUGUACACACCGCCCGUCACACCAUGGGAGUGGGCUGCAAAAGAAGUAGGUAGUUUAACCUUCGGGAGAACGCU